AGCAGUUUAUCUCAUAUAUGAUGAACCAAUUGACGAAAAAAUAGACCAUUGUGAUGCACCAGAUAUGAAUGUUAUUGUUGGUGGUGAUGAAAAUGAAUGCUCUUCCAAGAGGAUUUCUCCUCAAGUAGAGUCCACAGAUGAUUCUAAUCAAAGACAAAAAAGAAGAAAGCAAUAGUGGAGAAGGCUUUCCAAAUUUGUAGAGAAGGCUUUCCAAAUGCAAACAAUCGCAGCAAUCCCAGUACGCUUCUAGAAGAAUUUCUCUGUGACUAUGUGAGUCUAAGACAUGGUUUAAAUUAUCCCAAUCAAGUCGCUAGUUGGCUCUUCAAUGUAUUCUUAUAAGUGUGUGCCUAUAGAGUUUACUUUUCCUUUGAUUUAGGAGACAACAGUAUUGCAUUAAGUAAAUAAAUGUCAGGCAAAAACUACAUUAUCCUGUCAUAUACAUGCCAUAGGAAAGAACUAUUUUGUUUAGCAUGCAUCUUUUUUAUUGUUGUGUCAGGAUGCUCGCAUUGAGAAUUGUCAUUCUUUUCCUUUCUAUUUUUGAUUUGUGGAAUUUGGUUUUGCUGGCUAGUGUAGGAGAUUUCUCUUUCUUGUAGUUUGUUCCAGAACUGUUUAAGAGAGACCUGUUCCCUUGAUGUUGAGGAUAUUGGCUUCUUGCUUGCCGCAUACAUUGUUUCGUUCAACUUCUUCCCUACUUCUGCUGACUGGAUUACUCAGCCGCAGGUUUUGCCUGACUAGGUGAUGCCUCUCUAGAUUGAUUGUUUAUUUUAUUUGAAAUUUUGUCAUUAUCGGGCAGUAAAUUUGUCUUAAAACCUGAUAACCAUUGUCCAUUGCAAUUGUAUGCAUCCUUAUCAUAUUACCAAGGUUUUAAGUUGUAAUCUUCAGCUUCAAUUGUAGCCUAAACGUCGAGGAUUUUGGGACACCUUUGACCGAAUCACAACAAUCGCAAUUGUUUUGCAACAUCAGCUAUCCACAAUUUUCCUCAAUAUCAAAGAUUGGUGUAAUUGCACGUUGUGUCUGCAGCCUCAAUAUCAAACCUUGCAUAUUACCCUGCUCCUAUAGUUUGUUGGUAAUGCAAGUAUUCAGUGUUAUACCCUUAAUUAAAAAUUCUCUGUGAGCAGUUUUUUCAGCAUGUGCUCUUGUUGUUGCUUAAACUUUUCUCAUGAUUGGACACAAUUCUAUCAAGCACUCAAAGAGUCCUGGCAUUCACAAUUCAUUUUCAUCAUCCUAUUGGGGGAGUGCUGCAUUUGUUUUCUUAAUGACCUGUGUAAUUGCUUUGCUUUCGUCAAACAGUGGUUUACUAAGCCAUUUAAUCUUUAAUUUUCUUUCUGGUCUUCAAAGCAAUAAAAUGAGAGAGAGAGAGAGAGAGAGAGAGAGAGAGAGAGAGAGAGAGUGAUAUUCGACAUGUGCUAUAACAUAUAGCACACAAACUUCUCAUAGCAUCGGGCACCUGACCAUAAAAGAAGUCCAUCUGACCAUAAAAGAACUCCUAAGAUGAUGAAUUUUGAAGGAGACAGAGAAGAAAAUGAGACUAUCAAUAGAUAGAGGGUGGAGUUGUUGUUCAACUGUGUUUAAAUAUGGAGAUGGGUUUUUUCCUGAUGAAGAAAAUAUUAGAGAUGAGUUUGAAUAUGAAACUCAAUAUGAUUUUUCUGGGUUGAAGGAAGAUGAAUAUUGGAGGUGAGAGACUCAGAUCAUGAACAUCAACUCCACGAACGGUCGAGAUCUGAAGCGAAUCAGAGAUUGUGGAUGAGUUGAUGAGUUGUUUGGAGGAAGCUUCUGUUUCAAUGGUCUAUCAUGGUUAGAGAUACAUGUGAGAUAGGAGAGAUUGGAAAAUGGUGAUGAAAAUGGAAGAGGAAGAGGAAGAAGGGUUGCUUUGAUUUUGUGGCUGGCUUGAUGUGGAAGAGUGAGACGCCGAAUCUGGAAAAAAUUCUGGAUUUGUUGUUCAUAUGAUUGUCAUGGAAGGAAGAUGAAGAUCAAAGGAAGAUAUUAAGUGGUCAUCAUGGCUUUAGUACAAGUCCAGAACACAACCAACUGUGUUUGUGGCAAUAUCCAUCUAUGACUAAAGUUGGUGGCUUGGAUCCCCAUACUUCUAGAGUCCUCCAUCUUUCUCAGGUAUGCUUCAAGUCAUAAUUACUUAAACCAGUAUAGUGGUAAAUCGAGAGACGAUUAAUCAUCCAAUGUGAAUUUUUAAAGCAUGUAAUAAUGUGAGUACAAUCAUUCAUUGGCAAGAGCAUCUAAUAUAGUUGCUUGGGAUUGUUUUCAACAAGUGACAUCAACUUCAACUAUGUUAAAACAUAUAAACAUGAAUGAAACCACUUAAACUUUAACAAGGGGAUUAUUUCUUUCAAGUUAUACACUAAUGCUCUUAUGUCUUGCAGAGUUCAGAUGGUUUAACUGUGGUUUCAUCUGGGGGAGAUGAGACGCUUCGCUUUUGGGAUAUUUUUGGACCACCUGCUACUGAUACAAUAGAGUCUUCGGUUCUGGUAAUCUAUUGUCGAUGAAGGCAUCACAAAUAAGAUGAUAGAAACAUAACAAUUUUGUUCUAUUAGGGUAGCAAUUUUUUGUGUGGAAUUUUAUCAUGCACAUGUCCUAUACUACUGCGGUGAGUUUUAAAGUUUUAUCAUUCUUGUGUAAAUUUUGUUAAAGAAACAAAAAAGCUCUUGUACUGUUAUCUGGCAGAACAACAUUGAAGUGGAUGUUACUCUCCUACAUAUAUCAAUUAUUUAUUGUCACAUUUACAUUAGUUCUCCCUUCAAAACCAAUGCCAAAUUAAAUUGUUAAACAAUAAUUAAUAUGAUUAAAUGUUGUCCUUUUAAUGCUUAAUGUUAUCAUGAUGAAUAGUAUAACAAUAUAACUAGUACUUACUAACAAAAUCAUGGCUCCAGACAGGGGGUUUAGUCCAAUUCUUGAUUCCCAGCUUUCCUUGUCCAUAAGUAAUACAAUAGUGCAAUUAUCAUUUACUUUCUUUCAUUUGUCAUAUUUUCUUACUAUGUGUAAAAUUUUUAAAUGCGACAAUUAUUACGGAAUAACGGAAGUAUAACAUUAUAACAAUGUUUGAUCUUUAUAGCCAAUACUUGAAGAAUUUGUUGUUGUUGUACUAGAACUAAAUAAUAAGUGUUACAUACCUGACUCAGGAAAUCAAACGAAUUAUCUAAGGAGUUCAAUAAUUGCAAAUAGUUCACUAUUAUUUCCUUUUUCUCUCUUAAAAGUCGCACUACCUUUUGUCAUCUUACUUUCAUAUGCUAUAACAACAUAUGUUGGAAUUUUUUCUUCCUGCACUAGUUUUUGCCAAAAAACACAAAAAUAUCUCACUUUUUCGAAAAAUUGCAGAAAUGUCCUACUUUUUCAGGGGUCUCUGGUACCACUCCAUUUGGAGUUGCGGGGUACCCUAAAAGUUGGUGAAAUUUUGUCCUUAUUAUACCCCUCCACUUGGAGUUGCGGGGUAUUUUCCCUUUUUUUUUUUUUUUUUUUAAAUACCCCUCCAUCUUGACUUGCGGGGUAUUUUCUUGUUUUUAUUUUUAUUUUUAAAUACCCCUCUACUUGGAGUAGAAUGGUAUAAUAAGGACAAAAAGAAAAUUGAAGGAUUGGGAUACGUAUGCAUGCAUAAUGUAUCUCAAUCCUUCAAAUUUUUCCUUUGAUGUCUUCGAGAGUUGAUUAAUAUAAUGGAGUGUCACAUAACCAUAGGUCAGGCGGUUCUUCCCGUAUUCUAUGAUAUAUAUCCAUCCGAUGUUCGUCAUCAAACAGGUGAGUUUGGUGAAGCUUUUCAAAAAGCAUUGAACAAAGUUUUAAAAGGAGAUGAAUUCAUGGUACCAAAGUGGAGAGACGCACUUCGUGAUGCUGCUGGCCUUGCAGGAUUUGUUGUCCUGAAUUCCAGGUCUAGCUUAUUAUGCUUUGUUAAUUAAUUUUUUUGAGUUAAAUACACUUUUCCCAUGCCAUUUAAACAAAUUUCGAUUUAUCCCAUUUAGUUAACCUUGUAAUUUAAAGAUUAUUUUUUGUUAGACUGUCGUGGUUUCCAAUUUUAGGACUAAUUGACUCUCGGCCCCUGUUAGGAUAAUCAACUUAAUUUGCACGUACAGUUUGCUUCUUUGGUCAUCACUUUCAAUCUAAUUGCGCCUUUUUAUAAUGAUUCAGCUUUACACACACAAUCCAACAAUAAAUUUUUUCCUCGGAUUCCCCCUAUACUUUUGACACAUGCAUACAUAGGUAAUUACUUAUACAUAAACACAUAAAUAUACAUAAACCCAUAUGUUGUGUAUAUGUAAAUUUACCCUUUCUUUGUUUUUUAAUAGGAAUGAAAGUGAGGUUAUCAAGGGUAUUGUUGAAAAUAUUACACGUUUGUUUGACAAGAUAGACUUAUUCAUUGUUGAUAAUCCUGUGGGAGUCGAAUCUCAGGUGCAAGAUAUGAUUAAACUUCUAGACACUCACCAAUCAAAAGAUGUUCUACUAAUAGGGAUGUGGGGGAUGGGUGGAAUCGGCAAAUCCACCGUUGCAAAAGCCAUUUACAAUAAAAUUGGCCGCAAUUUUGAAGGUAGGAGUUUUCUUGCAAAUAUUAGGGAGGUUGGGGAGCAAGUUUCUGGACAACAGCAUUUACAAAAACAACUUAUAGAUGAUAUUUUCAAAGAAACAACAACAAAGAUACAAAACAUUGAGUCGGGAAAAUCUAUAUUAAAGGAAAGACUCUGUCAUAAGAGUUCUCCUUGUACUUGACGAUGUGAAUAAAUUGGACCAACUUAAUACUUUGUGUGGAAGUUGUAAAUGGUUUGCUCCUGGGAGUAGAAUAAUCAUCACAACCAGGGAUAUGGAUAUACUUAGAGCGAAAAAAGUUGACAAGAUAUACGAAAUGAAAGAAAUGAAUGAAAGUGAAUCUCUUGAGCGUUUUAGUUGGCAUGCAUUCAAGCAAAAGAGUCCCAAAGAAGAUUUUUCCGAAAUUUCCAUAAAUGUAGUUAAGUACUCUGGAGGGUUGCCGCUAGCUCUUGAAGUCCUUGGGUCCUACUUGUUUGAUAGGGAAGUAUUAGACUGGAUUUGUGUAUUGGAGAAACUCCAAAGUAUUCCCAAUGAGCAAGUAUAUAAGAGGCUAAAAAUAAGCUACCAUGGUUUAAAUGAUGACACGGAGAAAUCAAUAUUCCUUGACAUAGCUUGUUUCUUUAUUGGGAUAGACAGAAAUGAUGUUAUUUGUAUAUUAAAUAGCUGCAGACUUUUCACAGAAAUUGGAAUAAAGGUUCUUGUUGAGAGAAGCCUUGUAAUCGUUGAUGAUAAAAACAAGCUUGGCAUGCAUGAUUUGCUGCGAGAUAUGGGAAGAGAAAUCAUUCGUGAGAAAUCACCAAAGGAGCCUGAGGAACGUAGUAGGUUGUGGUUUCACGGGGAUGUGCUUGAUGUAUUGUCAAAACAUACUGUAAGAACUUCAUAUACUUUGUUUUAAGUUCUGUAUUUUAAAUAUUUGUUUUUAGUUAAAUAUGAAAAUUUGGGUUGAAAAUAUCUCAAACUUAGUAAGCAUUUGAGCUAGUAAUCAACAUUCAUCUGUGCUGUUGUUAGCGCAAAAGCUUUCAAUAUUAGUUUGGUUGUGAAUUGAUUUAUGCUCUGUAGCUCCUAGUGACAACUGACUUGUUUUGUUACACGUUUUUUAUCUGCCUUAUAUCUUUUAGUUUUACUCAUAUGGUUGUGCUUCCUGGCUCUAUAAGAUGUUUUACUUUUGGUCCUUUAUAUUUCUCAGGGAACAAAAGUUGUUGAAGGACUGACUUUUAAGAUGCCAGGUCGUAGUGCACAACGUUUUAGUACCAAAGCAUUUGAGAACAUGAAGAAACUCAGAUUGCUGCAACUUUCUGGUGUACAACUUGAUGGAGAUUUUAAAUAUCUUUCAAGAAAUUUGAAAUGGCUGCACUGGAAUGGAUUUCCUUUAACAUGUAUAGCUUCAAACUUCUAUCAAAGAAAUUUAGUUUCCGUUGUGUUAGAAAACAGCAAUGUCAAACUUGUUUGGAAAGAGAUGCAGGUAUUAAUUUGGAGUUGGAUGUAUUUAUAGAGGUCCUUGGAUGUUGUGGACCAUAUAAACUCUUGGUGCAAUGUGGGACAUAUAAAAGAAUCCAAUGUUGAAUAAAUCCGGAUUCUAAAAUCCGAACCAACCAACACCGUACACACAGUCCCAAUUUUCCCUUUGGUUCACGCCAUGAUCGUAUUUUUCUGAAAUAUAAAAUCCUGAAUAUAUGUGUAUUCCAGAUUAUAUAUUCCGGAUUACACCAGAAGCUUUUGGUCGGUGGUCUGCACCACAAAGAAAACGUUUUUCAAACGUUUUGGGCAGUGGUCAAGUUGAAAAACACGAUUUUACAUGAUUUUUGACUAUAAUAAUGGUGUUCCCACCUACUUUUCUAACCCUCCAUCCCUAUAAAUAGAAGAACAUUUCCUCACAAUUUCUCACACCCUCUUCUUUCUCCUCUUCUCUUCUUCCUUCUACAACGAUGUGUUUCCAUCGUUGGCCUUUCAUAGAAAGAGGUCUCUUUGAAAAUUCAUCAGGGGUCAUAUGAUCGGUCAAUUGGGAAGGGGUCGGUCUGGGUGUGAGGUUGGUUUGUUUGGGUGUCAUAUUGACCAUCAUGGUCUCUUGUUUCCUAGAGGCCAUGUGCCCCCUAUGUCUCCCCACCAACACCAAAGUUACUGGUAUGUCCCAUCAGAUAGCAUUGGUUUCUUCUUCCCUGCCAUCUUCUUUCAUCCCCCCUCUUUCCUCUCCACCGGUGGUUGGAGCCAUCGGUAUUGCUUAUGUUAUAAGAUAAGAGUAGAAAUAGAUUUAGGAUCUUAUGUAAUAAGCUUAAAAAGCUUGAAAAUUAUUGUAAUGUAUUGUUCAUAUAUUAAUAAAAUCAGUUUUUUUUAUGUUUGUGUCUUUUUAUUUCUUAUUUUUUAUUUUAUUUGCAUUUUAUUUUACGAAUUUUGAAGAUUAAAAUUGUAAAAGUUCUGGUAAAACAUUAUUCCGGAUUUUCAAAUUCGAAAACAUCUGCAAAAUUCUAACAAUGCAAUCCAGAAAAGGAAAUUCGGACUAGGGGUAAAAUUGAAAAAAAAAAUAGGACACGCGAGAAAAAUCAUAGGUGGGAAAAGUAAUAGUCUAAUUAUUCACAUAUAAGAUCAAUGUUGGAUUAAUGACCGUACAUAAUGAUGAUGAUGAAUAUGAAAGCGGUGUUGUGUUUUGGCUUUUUUACCUCUCUACGUCUUUCUCGUAUUUCUAUAAGGAAACUAUGUUUUGAUUUUUAUUUUAUUUUUCUCCCAAAAGCUCAUCCCUUUAAAUUCCCUCUCUAUUUAAAGAUGUCAAGACCCAAGAUCAAGCUUAAAUUGAAGCUUGAAUUUCAAGUUUGAAGCCAAUGGAAGAAAGUUGUCAUGUGAUGUCAUCUUAGCUCGUUAUAAUGACGUCAUCUUAGCUGGCUUUGAAGAUGUCACCUUAUUCUUUGUGUAGUACACCAGAAAUGCUCGAGAUAAUUUUCGAUAAAACAAAUCUCAUUUGAAGUCCCUUUUUUUUUUAGAUUUUUAAGAGGAGAAUAAUAAUAAUGGAAAACAAUAAAAUUAAACAAAUUAACACUUAUUUUUGUUAUUUUUGAAAUUUGUUCGGACAAAAUUAAGAUACUACAAAUAUGUACACAUGUCAUUCAUUUAAUGAGUCCAUAUUAGUUUACUAUCAUGGAUGCUCUUACAACUAAAUAAAAUAAAGAGCAUUUAGUGUAGUUUUACCUAUUUAAUACACCCUCCGUCCCAGUUUAACUGAUAUAUUUGUAAAAAAAUAUUGUCCUAAGAAUCUUGACCAAUUUCACUUUUCAAUGCAACAUUAAUUAUUUUUCUCCAAUUAUAACUAUAAUUAAUACUACUUUCACAACUCUCAAUUUAAUAUAUUCUAAAUUACAUUUAUGAUAAAGAAUAGUGCACCAAUAUUUAAAAAAAACACUCAAAACUAUUUUUCUCUCUCUCUUUCUUUUAUAUAUUUUUCUUAAUAUGUGUGAAAUUAAGAAAAAUUUUGCAUGUUGUAUAAAAAUUAAGAAAAAAAACCAGCAAUCGCAACGUUAUUUAUAUUUUUUUUGACGUUGGCUGUGUUAUUAACACAUACAUUAAAAAAAAAAACUCAGCUUUGUACCAAAAGAAAAAAAUAAACUCAACACAAGCCAGUUAUUAUUUCAACCGUUAAAUAGCAAGUUAGGUUGCUUCUUCAAACAAAAAAAAAAAACCAAGUUAGGACAAAUAGUUAUCAUUUAAAUGUCAAAGAACCAGAUGAACUAGAUUUUCUUCCUUCUUUGAACCAAAAAUCCUCUGGCUGAGACAGGAGAGAGAAAAUGGGGAUUGGGUGGGUAUGAAAAUUACAUUAAAGCUCUGUUUCGUAAAAAUAACGGAUAGCUGAUAAGCUAGCUGAUAAGUUAACUGAAGUGUUUGGUAAAAAUAGCGGUUCAACUAGCUGAAAAAUAUAAAAUGACAUAAAGGGUAUUCUUAAUUCAUAAUAAAAAUUAUAUCAUUAAUUUAAGUAUUUGUAAUUUUGUAAACUAAUUUUUCUUUAAAAAAAUACUUUAAAUUUAUUAAUUUAAUAUAUCCUAUGUAUUAUUAAUUAAAUUAAAUUUUAUUAACUAAAAUUUUAUCUUAUAUUAACUAUCAUUUAAGUGUUUCUACUUUAUAAAGAAAAUAACAUUUACCUCAAAAACAAAAAUAAAAUGUAGCACUAAUAGAGUAAUACUAAUAACAGAGAAUAAAGAAAAUAACACUUAUCUCAAAAAAAUAAAAAUAAAAAGUAACACUAAUAGAAUAAUAGUAUUUUGUUUCGUAAAAAAAAAAACAAAGGUAUAUAUUUUUUCAAAAAAAAAAAAAAAAGGUCAGCUGAUAUAUACACAAAAAUUAGAAUAAAGGGAUAGUAGUCUUUAUUACGUAGCUUAUUAUAAAAAUUAUAAUGGAUAAAAAUACAAUUUAAAUGAAAUAAUAAGGGUAAAAUUGGAAGAAAAAGUGAGAAGCUAUAAGUUAUAAGCUCAAACGCUACUUGAAAUAGCUUCUGAAAAAUAGCUUAUAAGCUCGUGAAAUAAGCUAUAAGCUCAUGGUGAAAAAGUAUUACCAAACAGAACUUUUUUUGUCAAACGAAUUUAUAAGCUAUAAGCUAAAAGCUCUUUUUUUGGGUUUACCAAACAGACCCUAAAAGACAUUUAAUAGAUCACAAUUGAAGAGAGAGAAAAGGGUUUUUAGUGUCCAAAUAAUAAGGUGUUGCAUGCUAAUAUACACCUUCAUAAAAAUAGAUAGGUGUAUUAUUGCAAUCAAUACCUCUUUUUGUUCAUAUAAUAUUAGCGAAUUCCGGUUUUAGUUCCUGUAAAAACAAGCUUUAGAUUUUGUCUAUGUAAUUUCAUAUUCUUUCACUUUUGGUCCCUCAUUUCAUCACGUUAGCAGAAUCUGCAUAAAUUACGUCCUUGUAAUUUCAGAUUCCUCCUACUUUUGGUCCUUGUAAUUUCAAAUUCCUCCACUUUUGGUCCCUCAUUUUACGUGUCAUGUAUGCAGAUUCUGCUGACGUGGUGGAAUAAGGGACCAAAAGUGGAAGAAUUUGAAAUUACAGAGACAAAAUCAAAUUUUUUUUAUUACAGAGAUUAAAACCGAAAUUCGCUAAUAUUACAGGGAUGAAAAGAGGUAUUAAGCCUCUAUAUAUAUAUAUCUAUAUAUAUAUAUAUUCCUUUUACGGAUAGUAUAGAUAAGUUGAAUUGGGAGUGUCUUUAAAAAUAAAAAUAAAAAUUAACUGUGAGCAGAUCUGAACUCCAAACAAAGCAAGCACUUUAUUAGUCUUUAAACAGUAAGUGAAGAUCGAUUUCUUCCGACAAAUCAGUGGAAAUUCACUCUAGAUCCUCGCUCGAAAAUCGAAUAUCGAAUAUCGAUAUAUUCCUCUUCAGUUCCUUUAUCCAUGUCUUCCCCAAGAUCACUUUCCUCUUCCGAUUUUUCCGAUUUUUCCGAUGACAUCAUUUCCAGUAGAACAAGAAAGUACGAUGUGUUUUUGAGUUUUAGAGGAGAAGACACUAGAGCAUCAUUCACUUCACAUCUUACUUUCUCUCUUCAAAACGCCGGAAUUAUUGUCUUCAAGGACGAUCAGUCGCUUGAAAGAGGAGAGCACAUAUCCACAUCGUUACUCCAAGCAAUCGAAAUCUCUAGAAUUGCUGUUAUCGUCUUCUCCAAAAACUAUGCUGAUUCGUCAUGGUGUCUGCGAGAGUUGGUUCAAAUAAUGUCGUGUUACAGUACUAUAGGCCAAGUGGUACUGCCAGUGUUCUAUGAUGUUGACCCUUCCGAAGUUCGUCGUCAAACCGGUGACUUUGGUAAAUCAUUUCAAAAUCUUUUGAACAGAAUUUCUCAAGAGGAAGAGAGGAGGGUGCUAAAGUGGAACGAUGGUUCUUUACAAAGAGAUGACUUUCCUUUUUCAAACAAAGAUAUGGUGCGAAAAUGGAUAGAUGCCCUUCAUACAGCGGCUGGACUUGCUGGAUUUGUUGUCCUAAAUUCCAGGUUAUUUACUUACUCUCUCUCUCUCUCUCUCCAUUUUCAUAUGCUUUGUUUAGUACUCUCCUCACUCCCGAAAUAAUUGAGUCAUUUACUAAAAAAAAAGUGUUAUAAAAUAAAUAAGUCAUUUCACUUUUAAUAGUAAUUACUUGGCUAAACUUCACUUUUCGCCCUCUAAGUUUCAAAAUGUUGCGAUUUUAGCUCCCUAUUAAAAAAAAUGGCAAAAGUGACACCCUAUAUUUAGGGAAAUAUGCUCUUUUGACCUUCUAACAUAAGGGAAAUAUGCUUUUUGACCCCUUAUCUUUACAAAAAGUUGCGAUUAUGGCCCUUUUUUUGGGACACCUGGCGUCUUCUCAGCAAUUUUAGAAUGAAGGGGGCCAAAAUUGCCAUUUUUUUAAUAGGGGGUCAAAAUCGCAACAUUUUGAAAUAUAGGGGGCGAAAAGUGCACUUUAUUACUUUUUUCCAUUUAUAACUCUAAUUAAUACUAUUUUCAUCACUCCCAAUUCAAUAUAUUUUUUUUGUAUUUAUGAUAGUGAAGAAUCCACCAAUACUUAACAAAAACACUUAAAAUCAUCUUUCUCUCUCCUUCAUUUAUAUAUUUUUCUUAAUAUAUAUGAAAUGAGUCAAUGACUCAGUUAAUUCGGGACAGAGGGAAUAUAUUUUGGGCAUUUAAGGAAAUAUUUAGAUACACAAAUUAAUGAUAGUAUUAGUUUUUUCUAUAACAAAAGAUAAACUAUUUUGAUUAGCUUAUUUUAUUAGUUUAUCUACGGACGUAAGCAUCCCCGUGAACUUAGCUCAGUUGGUAGAGAUAUUGUAUAUUAUAUGUAGGGGCCAUGAUUUGAACCCUGGACACUCCACUUCUCCACAAUUUAAUUCUAUGAGCUCUAGCCACUAGGCUACUUGACCAAAAAAAAUCUACGGACGUAAGCAAUAGUGAGAUAGCAAAUGAAAACAACUUAUAGCUGAUAUAGGUUGACUUAAUUUUAUGUUUUUUUUUGUAGGAAUGAAAGUGAGGUUAUCAGGGAUAUUGUUGAAAAUGUUACUCGUUUGCUUGACAAGACAGACUUGUUCAUUGCUGAUAAUCCAGUAGGAGUCGAUUCUCGAGUGCAAGAUAUGAUUCAACUCCUAGAAACUCAACAAUCAAACGAUGCUCUACUACUAGGGAUGUGGGGGAUGGGUGGAAUCGGAAAAACCACCAUUGCAAAAUCCAUUUACAAUAAAAUUGGUCGCAAUUUUGAAGGUAGGAGCUUUCUUGAAAAUAUUAGGGAGGUUUGGGAGCAAGCCUCUGGACAAUUGUAUUUACAAGAACGACUUAUGAAUGAUAUUUUGAAAGACACCACAACCAAGAUACAAAGCAUUGAAUCAGGAAAAUCUAUAUUAAAGGAAAGACUGUGUCAUAAAAGAGUACUUAUUGUACUUGACGAUGUCAAUAAAUUGGACCAACUAAAUGCUUUGUGUGGAAGUUGUAAAUGGUUUGCUCCAGGAAGUAGAAUUAUCAUCACAACUAGGGAUAAGCAUAUACUUAGAGGGAAACAAGUUGAUAAAAUAUACAUAAUGAAAGAAAUGGAUGAAAGUGAAUCUCUUGAGCUUUUUAGUUGGCACGCGUUCAAGCAAACAAGGCCUAGAGAAGAUUUUUCUGAAAUUUCCAAAAAUGUAGUUAAGUAUUCUGCGGGAUUGCCACUAGCUCUUGAAGUCCUUGGGUCUUAUUUGUUUGAUAGGGAGAUUUUAGAGUGGAGAUCUGUAUUGGAUAAACUAAAAAGAAUUCCCAAUGAUCAAGUGCAUAAGAAGUUAAAAAUAAGUUAUGAUGGUUUAAAUGAUGAUACACAGAAAGAAAUAUUCCUUGACAUAUCUUGUUUCUUUAUUGGAAUGGACCGGAAUGAUGUUAUUCGUAUAUUAGAUGGCUGUGGAUUUUUUGCAGGAAUUGGAAUAAGUGUCCUUGUUGAGAGAAGCCUUGUAACGGUUGAUGAUAAGAACAAGCUUGGCAUGCAUGAUUUGCUCCGAGAUAUGGGAAGAGAAAUCAUUCGUGAGAAAUCACCAAAGGAGCCUGAGGAACAUAGUAGGCUGUGGUUUCAUGAGGAUGUGAUUGAUGUCUUGUUAGAACAUACCGUAAGAACUUCAUAUACUUUGUUUUAUAUUAUGGAUUUUUAAUAUUUGUUUUUGGUUAAAUAAGAAAGUCUAGAUUUUAAACAUCUCAAUCUUAAAUAGCAAAAACAUUUAGCUAGUAAUCAACAUUCAAUUUUGUUGUUGUUAGCACAGAAGUUUUGAAUAUUAGUUUGGUUGUGAAUCAUUUUGUGCUUCAUAUCAGCAUGCACAAAUGUUUCAUUACAUGUUUUUUAUCUGCCUUAUAUCUUUUAGUUUUACACAUGAUUAUACUUCUCGGCUUUAUAGGAUGUUUUACUUUGGUCAUUUAUAUUUCACAGGGAACUAAAGCUGUUGAGGGGCUGAGUUUGAAGCUGCCAGGUCGUAGUGCACAACGUUUUAGCACCAAAACAUUUGAGAACAUGAAGAAACUCAGAUUGCUGCAACUUUCCGGUGUACAACUUGAUGGAGAUUUUAAACAUCUUUCAAGAAAAUUGAGAUGGCUGCAGUGGAAUGGAUUUCCUUUAACAUGCAUACCGUCAAACUUCUAUCAAAGAAAUUUAGUUUCCAUUGUGUUAGAAAACAGCAAUAUCAGACUUGUGUGGAAAGAGAUGCAGGUAUUAAUUUUGAGUUUUAUUUUUAGUAUUUUGAGUUGUUUUCACUUAUCAUAUUUAUGAGUGCUAUUUAAGUGUUGCGUCCCGUUUGCAAUAGUAAUAGAAGGACUGGAGUCCUAGAUAUCAUAUCCAAUGGACUAAAUAGUAUUAUUUAGACAACCUAACUUUUUUUGUGCUUAAAGAAAUAUAAUUUGAUUGUUUAGACUUUGAUUCAGAAGAACAAAGGACAAAGCAGUUUGUGAUUAUGAAUUAAAACAGUUUGAUUAUAUUACAUAAGAUCCAUCAUAACCCUAACAAUGAAUUUGUUUACAAUGUAUAAUAGUAUAAACAAAAUCCACAUAGUAGUACAUAAAUCAAAAUAAUAAAUAAUGAAAUCCAGAAGAGAUAACCGCAACGGAGAGGAUUGCAAUAUUGAGUUUGAUUAAAAAAGCUUUCAGUUUAAAUUUCAAACCUGACUAUAAUCCCAAAUAUUUGAAUUCACAGAAAAAUACGUAUGCAUGUAAUAUUUUGAAAGAAAAAGUAAUACUCCCUCCGUCCCAGUCUCCCAGAUUAACUGAGCCAUUUGUUCAUUUCACACAUAUUAAGAAAAAAGUAUAAAUGAAUGAAAGAGAAAAAUGGUUUUAAGUGCUUUUGUUAAGUAUUGGUGCAUUCUCCACUAGCAUAAAUGCAAAGUGGAAUAUAUUGAAUUGUGAAUGAUGAAAGUAGUAUUAAUUAGAGUUAUAUUUGGAAAAAAGUAAUUAAUGUUGUAUUGAAAAGUGAAAUUGGUCAAUUUUUUGUGACAAUAUUUUUUUGUAAAUGGCUCAGUUAUUAUGGGACGGAGGGAGUACUUUUUUUUUUUUUGUGGUCGCCGAGGUUUGAACCCUGCACCUUGCAUAUAUUAUGCAUCAUCCCUACCAACUGAGCAGCUCACGAGGACGGACAGAGGGAGUACUAAACUAUCGUAUAUUGGUAUUAAAAACAUGUCUCUGCGUCCAGAUAAACAUUUUAUUAUCACUUUCAAGGUUGCAACUACUGUAAUAUUUAUGUUAUUUCAGGGGAUGGAGCAGCUGAAAAUUCUCAAUCUUAGUCAUUCUCAAUAUCUGACACAGACGCCUGACUUUUCAUACUUGCCUAAUCUUGAAAAGCUAGUACUUAAAGAUUGUCCAAGGCUGUCUGAGAUUUCCCAAAGUAUUGGACAUCUCAAGAAAAUUCUUUUGAUAAAUUUGAAAGAUUGCAUUAGCCUUUGUAACCUUCCAAGAAACAUCUAUACGUUGAAAUCUCUGAAAACUCUCAUUCUAUCUGGAUGUUCAAUGAUUGACACGUUGGAAGAGGACUUGGAACAAAUGGAAUCUUUAACCACUCUGAUUGCAAAUAACACUGGUAUAACAAAAGUACCCUUUUCAAUUGUAAGAUCAAAACGCAUUGGAUUUAUUUCUUUGUGUGGAUAUGAAGGAUUCUCACGUGAUGUGUUUCCUUCUAUCAUUUCGUCUUGGAUGUCACCAACAAAUGGUCUCUCGCCCACUUUUCAAACAACUGCUGGGAUGUCAUCCCUUGUUUUUUUAAAUGCAACAAAUAGUAUUUCCCAUGAUAUAUCAUCUAUUUCUUAUGUCCUUCCGAAGCUUCAAAGCCUUUGGCUGGAAUGUGGAUCAGAACUUCAACUUUCACAGGACACAGCAAUAAUUUUGAAUGCUUUAAGUGCAACAAAUUCCAAGGAAUUGGAAUCAACUGCAACUACAUCACAAGUAUCAGAGGUGAAGACUUCUUCAUUAAUUGAAUGUUGUGAUCAAAUGCCAGAUUCAGCAACAAAAAAUUACAUGAAAUCUCUUCUAAUUCAGAUGGGAACGAGUUGCCUAAUCUCCAAUAUUCUCAAAGAGAGGAUCUUACAGGUUUCACCCUCUCUCUUGCAUGUGUUUAAUAGUUAUAUUUUAAAUAUAAACAUUAUUAGAAGAGAGAAAUCUUAUAGUUUUGGUAGUUGAAUUAUUUUUAGUAUAUCGAUUAUAUGAUAAUGUGAUAUCUCUUGCAUUUGCUUGAAUUUUGUUUUAUGAAAUCACAUCCUUCCAAGUGCACAUCUUAGGGAGUGGUACAAUUUGUUAGCGUCAUGACAUUAGUAUCAAGAGUAAUGCUACCAGCACACUCUUUGGCUUUCCCUUUCAAACAUUUCUUUUCUCAUGAUUUCAUUUGGAAUCCAUUCCAAAACUGGUGACCUACAUUAAUUUCACUCGAGAGAGUGUGUUGGAAAGAGACUAUCUUGGUAGAACUACCAAAAUAUCAAAUGGAAAUCAGAAACCCUUGCUUUUUUUUUUGGUUGAUAUCGUUUGUUGAAUCUACACCUCUCUAUUAUUUUUAAUAUUAUUGUCAAAAUAUUAUAAUUUUUUUGUAAUGCAUGGGCCCAUUACAUAUGAUGCCGUUGCACCACUCUAGCCUUUUAUAAAAUAAAAGAGAGAGAGAGAGAGAGAGAGAGAGAGAGAGAGAGAGAGAGAGAGAGAGAGAGAGAGAGAGAGAGAGAGAGAGAGAGAGAGAAUGAGGUGUUCAAUUGAAUGGGAGUUUGGAAAAUUAGGUGUCCAAAAUAUCAUUGUUGUUGUUUCUAUUGAUAAGAAUACGAAUAAUCAUCUUAUAAAGAAUAUUAUAUAUUUAAUUUUUGAAUAAAUGAUUGUGAUGUUAAUAUAUCGUUAAAUCAAAUAUUUCCACUUUUUACAGAAUUUGACUGUCGAUGGGCGUGGUAGUUUUUUGCUCCCUGGUGAUGAUUACCCAAAUUGGUUAAGUUUCAACGCCAAAGGUUAUUCUGUAAUUUUUGAAGUCCCUCAAGUGGAAGGAUGUAGCUUGAAGACAAUAAUGUGCAUUGUCUAUUCUUCAAGCCCAUAUGACAUAACAUCAGAUGGCCUUAGAAAUGUGUUGGUGAUAAAUCACACAAAGACCACCAUUCAACUCUAUAAGAGAGAGGCGUUAUCGUCCUUCGAAAAUGCGGACUGGCAGAGAGUGAUAUCAAAUAUGGAACCUGGUGACAAAGUGGAGAUAGUUAUUGUAAUGGUGAACAAUGUCAUUGUGACGAAGACAGCAGUUUAUCUCAUAUAUGAUGAACCAAUUGACGGAAAAAUGGACCACUGUGAUUCCCAAGAUACGAAUGUUAUUGUUGGUGGUGAUGAAAAUGAAUGCUCUUCCAAGAUUGUUUCUCCUCAAGUAGAGUCCACAGAUGAUUCUAAUCAAAGACAAAAAAGAAGAAAACACUGGUGGAGAUGAAUGAUGUUAAAAAAUUGAU
This 16392-nucleotide long non-coding RNA is filed under the name Medicago truncatula (barrel medic). Its description in RNAcentral is "long non-coding RNA (MTRU_LNC001441)". The stretch from base 9431 to 9541 matches the Rfam family "MIR5284 microRNA precursor family". Lineage: Eukaryota; Viridiplantae; Streptophyta; Magnoliopsida; Fabales; Fabaceae. The record is from RNAcentral.